UACGUAGGGACCGAGCGUUGUCCGGAAUCAUUGGGCGUAAAGAGCGUGUAGGCGGCCCCUUAAGUCCUGCGUGAAAUCUUGCGGCUCAACCGCAAGCGGUCGUGGGAAACUGGGUGGCUAGAGUGCGGGAGAGGAGAGUGGAAUUCCUGGUGUAGCGGUGGAAUGCGCAGAUAUCAGGAAGAACACCCGUGGCGAAGGCGGCUCUCUGGAACGCAACUGACGCUGAGACGCGAAAGCGUGGGGAGCAAACAGG
Molecule: ribosomal RNA, 253 nt
Filed under: uncultured bacterium
Lineage: Bacteria
Description: partial 16S ribosomal RNA
Rfam family: Bacterial small subunit ribosomal RNA
Source: RNAcentral